RNAcentral lists this long non-coding RNA (551 nucleotides) under Eutrema salsugineum. RNAcentral's name for it is "long non-coding RNA (ESAL_LNC001768)". Lineage: Eukaryota; Viridiplantae; Streptophyta; Magnoliopsida; Brassicales; Brassicaceae. The record is from RNAcentral.
UAUGAAGUUGUGGCCGAGAUUAAAUAGGUUGCCUGUUUUACCACCUCCAAACAGAUUAGGCAACUGUGGUAGGCCACCUAAUUAUGCUCGGCGUAAAAGUGUUGGAGAAGCUACCUCAUCCUCUAAAAAGAAGACUAAGUUAACCCGUGAGAAGAGAAUCAUGACAUGCUCGAAAUGUAGGGAAGAAGGGCACAAUAGGUUAUCAUGUUCAAGACCAAUUGUUCUUGAGCCGCCGGAAGCUAAACGACCAAGGGGAAGACCAAGGAAAGAACAGGUUAUUCAUCUUUCAUGUUUUGAAAAUCUUGUUUCAUGAAAUUAUUCUUACGUUUUUCAUCUUUUGUUUCACUUUCAUUUUUUUUUUACUUUUGGUGGACAUAGGAAGGAAAAUCACAAGGAGGAUCACAAGCUUAAUGGCAAGUCUGGAUCACAAGCUUAGUCGCAAGUCUGGGUCACAAUGCUUUUGGCUUUUGUUGGUUUUGUUUUUUUUUUUUUUGUUGAAGACUUUCUAACUUUUGGCCUUCAGUGGUUUUGUUGAAAACUUUCUAUCAUGG